RNAcentral lists this ribosomal RNA (408 nucleotides) under uncultured bacterium. RNAcentral describes it as "partial 16S ribosomal RNA". It matches the Rfam family "Bacterial small subunit ribosomal RNA", at positions 28 to 526 of the family's 1533-position model. The record is from RNAcentral.
GACGAACGCUGGCGGCGUGCUUAACACAUGCAAGUCGAACGGAGUGGCGAACGGGUGAGUAACACGUGGGUGAUCUGCCUUGCACUUCGGGAUAAGCUUGGGAAACUGGGUCUAAUACCGGAUAGUGCAAGAUGAGCUCGCGGCCUAUCAGCUUGUUGGUGGGGUAAUGGCCUACCAAGGCGUCGACGGGUCGCCGGCCUGAGAGGGUGUACGGCCACAUUGGGACUGGGGAACAGGCCAGACGCCUACGGGAGGCAGCAAUGGGGAAUAGUGCACAAUGGGCGGAAGGCGGAUGCAGCGAUGCCGCGUGGGGGAGGAAGGCCUUCGGGUUGUAAACUCCUUACGACAGGGACGCGGUACCUGUAUAAGAAGCACCGGCUAACUACGUGCCAGCAGCCGCGGUAAUAC